This 325-nucleotide long non-coding RNA is filed under the name Physcomitrium patens. Its description in RNAcentral is "long non-coding RNA (PPAT_LNC008582)". The record is from RNAcentral. Lineage: Eukaryota; Viridiplantae; Streptophyta; Bryopsida; Funariales; Funariaceae.
AUAUUGUAUUUUCAUCUAUAUCACCCAACGGCUUUAGAGAAUAUGCACCAUGAUAACAUUUGUGCUGUAAUAAUUGGUAGUAAACUUGAAAUUAGAAGUAAAAAAUGCUUAUUUUUUAUGGUAAUCUUAUUAAACCUUGAUAGUUGUAUGCUCAUCACAAAGAUCUAUCAUUUUUUUAAACAAAUAAAAUAUGAGCUUUCAGUGGAGAUUUUGAAUGGAAAAUAAAGUUUUUGGACAAAUUCUCAUUAAUAUAUUUCUUUAAUGCAUCCAAUUUGUUCUAUAAUAAGCUGUAGAUUGGUCCAAAUGAUGAUUGAACUCCUUCUUA